CAAAUUGAUUUUCUUGAACAUAUAUACAACUUUGAUGUUGAAGGUUUUGUCAUUUGAGGCUUGUAUCAUUGAAAUAGAAGGGCUUGAAGUUGGUCAUUUUUGGCAAAAUUUUCAAAUACAUGUUUUGUACCUUGAACUUCAUGGCUAGUUUUCAAUAUUUUCCAAACUCCAAAUGGAUUUUUGUUCAACAUAGCCUUUGUUCCUUAUUUCAAUACCUUUCCGACCAUUACUCACAUGCCUAUGUUUCAAUUUUC
RNAcentral lists this long non-coding RNA (254 nucleotides) under Lathyrus oleraceus (garden pea). RNAcentral's name for it is "Pisum sativum (pea) long non-coding RNA (PSAT_LNC023852)". Lineage: Eukaryota; Viridiplantae; Streptophyta; Magnoliopsida; Fabales; Fabaceae. The record is from RNAcentral.